AGUAAUUUUAACAAUAAAUGUGCUCAUAAACUACUUUUUACCAAUAUAUUAACUUAUUAUUAGCAACUAAUAAGCACUUUAACCAAACAUGCAAUUCCUUAAAAUUUUAAAUGUUUAUAAACUUAAAUUAGUUUAUAUAAGCUAAUUUUUAUAAGUUAAGCCAAACAUUCUCUAAGGACACUAUACAUGGUCAAGCAAAUGCGAGGCCAAUAGAAUGCGAAAUAUCUAGAUUAACCGUCUGCUCUGAGCUGCAAAGUUCCCAUUCUUAAAACCAUUUUAUAGCCACCAUCUAUUUCUAUGAGCCAACUCAUGAACCAAGUUGCCAUAUCCACCUCUAAAGGCACACUAUCACUAAUCAUGCAUUGCUGACUGAUCCAUAUAAAAGGGUAAUAAACCACUCAUAUAAUAAUCAUAUUCAUCUGAUUAACUAGGAAACAAAUUGCCAGAAUUUGCAAUACUGAAAGUACAAAAUGAGUUAUCUGCUAAAACCAUCUCUCAACAAUGAACAGCUACUGAAAAGACUAGGGCUGAUGAACAAUAAAAUCCAAAAGUACAGCAAUUCUAUAAAAAUUUAUCAAUAGUGGGAAUGAAUUUCAAUAACUUAACCACUCGUAGCUGAAGGUCAAUCUUUCUCCCUGGAACAUGUUAUCUCUGUGAUCCUUGUUACCAUGCUAAAGGAAAAUGUAGGGAAAGCGAAAACCUUAAUUUUUGAGAGGGAAAAAUAAAAAGACUGGUGACUACAAUUAGUUCCCAUUAUUCAACUUCAUGUUUGCUAUUAAU
RNAcentral lists this unclassified non-coding RNA (780 nucleotides) under Hevea brasiliensis (rubber tree). The record is from RNAcentral. Lineage: Eukaryota; Viridiplantae; Streptophyta; Magnoliopsida; Malpighiales; Euphorbiaceae.